UCAGGAUGAACGCUAGCUACAGGCUUAACACAUGCAAGUCGAGGGGCAGCAUUGGGAUAGCUUGCUAUUCCAGAUGGCGACCGGCGCACGGGUGCGUAACACGUAUCCAAUCUACCCAUGGCUCGGGGAUAGCCUUUCGAAAGAAAGAUUAAUACCCCGAUGGUCUCGCAUUAGGGCAUCCUUGUGUGAGUAAAGAUUCAUCGGCGAUGGAUGGGGAUGCGUCCGAUUAGGUAGUAGGCGGGGUAACGGCCCACCUAGCCGACGAUCGGUAGGGGUUCUGAGAGGAAGGUCCCCCACACUGGAACUGAGACACGGUCCAGACUCCUACGGGAGGCAGCAGUGAGGAAUAUUGGUCAAUGGUCGGGAGACUGAACCAGCCAAGUAGCGUGAGGGACGACGGCCCUACGGGUUGUAAACCUCUUUUGUUUGGGAAUAAAGUGCCGCACGCGCUGCGGUUUUGUAUGUACCUUACGAAUAAGCAUCGGCUAAUUCCGUGCC
RNAcentral lists this ribosomal RNA (498 nucleotides) under uncultured bacterium. RNAcentral's name for it is "bacterial SSU rRNA". It matches the Rfam family "Bacterial small subunit ribosomal RNA", at positions 24 to 509 of the family's 1533-position model. The record is from RNAcentral.